CGGCGGACGGGUGAGUAACGCGUGGGUAACCUGCCUCAUACAGGGGAGUAACAGUUAGAAAUGGCUGCUAAUACCGCAUAAGACCACAGUACCGCAUGGUACAGUGUGAAAAACUCCGGUGGUGUGAGAUGGAUCCGCGUCUGAUUAGCCAGUUGGCGGGGUAACGGCCCACCAAAGCGACGAUGGAUAGGGGUUCUGAGAGGAAGGUCCCCCACAUUGGAACUGAGACACGGUCCAA
Molecule: ribosomal RNA, 238 nt
Filed under: uncultured bacterium
Lineage: Bacteria
Description: partial 16S ribosomal RNA
Rfam family: Bacterial small subunit ribosomal RNA
Source: RNAcentral